This 2292-nucleotide long non-coding RNA is filed under the name Taeniopygia guttata (zebra finch). RNAcentral's name for it is "lncRNA (ENSTGUG00000027651.1)". The record is from RNAcentral. Lineage: Eukaryota; Metazoa; Chordata; Aves; Passeriformes; Estrildidae.
AUGUACAUUCCUCUUUAUUUAAUACAGCACAGACACGUGACACAUAAAAAACAGAAAAGUACACUCAUGAAAAAGCCUGUCGCAGUCAGGGACAGGGAACAGCUACGCCAAAUUGAGUAAGGCUCCUACUGCAGAACAGGGGUCUGCCGGCAAGGGUGGAUCCCAGAGCAAAGUCUGCUGCCAAAAAAAGCUUGCGCUCCUUUCAGGAAAGCAGAAAAGGGCAAGUCCCUUCUGAACAGGUGAAGGCAGCGUUACCCACAAGGUUUGCAGGAUACGAACCCCAUGACUGUGUUUGGAUCCGAGCACUGAUAAAAGUGAAAUGCUCUCCAGUUACUCUCACAGAGGGCCAAUAAUCCUGACCUCUGAAAGCAUUGGACUGCUCAGGGAUAGGAAACCUGAGUACCUGGAAGGAGUGAAAACGUCAAGUAGUAACAUAGAAGAGAGUUAAAAUUAGCCUCCCUGACAGGGCUCUGCUAGCCACAACUGGGAAUGUGCAGGGAACUAACCAGCUUCCCAACUAACAAAAGACUAACAGCCAUUAAACUGUCCCAUAUAGCCAUUGGAACUGACGCAGGCUUUUGAGGCAGCAGCUUCUUCCUGUUCCUGCUUCAGUUCAGGAUGGAGAUAAAGCAGGCACCAGUUCCUCUGGCAAAGAGCCUUACACACUUUUAAAAAAUUAAAAUACAAAAAAAGGGAGACAGGUGUAUUUACAAAAUCCAUGGCUGGUACAGUACAUCAUUUUUAAGACACACUAAAUGCUACAAUCUUUCAGGUCCUGAGAUUAUUACAAAGAAAAAAAAAAAAACAAACCAAACCAAGAACAAACCCCAACAACUCAAAAGUUGUGUUCAGGUCCAGUUUUAUAAGGAGAGAGGAAAGAAACCACACAUUUAAAACACAGUAUACCUUGAAGUUAUUGGAACACACCUCCCUAAAAAAUCCAAAUGAAAGUGGCGCUUACCACCCAAAUGUAGCUGCAUUUUGUUGCUCAGGCUUGUUGUCACAUGAGGGGAGCAUUUCAUGGGGCAGUUUCCCUGGAGAGCUCAUCAGGUAAGCACAAAGCUGUUGGGAUCCUCUCUCCAUCGCUAAGCCCUAUGACCCGGAAUGUGCGAGUGUUCACAGGAGGAAGGUGACUUUGUACAAAUUCAUGCUGGACUGAGGACAGCAUCACAGGAAUCACCAACUCAAACAGGUUUGCCAUCUCAUAGUAACUCUGCACUCCUUUGUUUGAAGCCAAAGAAUGCAAAGAAUUCUAGCUGUGAUUUAAGACGUGUUAAUAACAUUAAAAAAAAAAAAAAAAAUUCCUCCAGCUUUUUGUUCUGAGCUCCUCAGUGAAAGGCAGUAAAAUAGUUUCUCAGCCCUUCAUUGUCUGGGGGAUCACAGCAAGUCAGAUAGUUAAACUGGUUAUAUCCAAACUUGCUAACAUAUAUUAUAUAUAUAUUAAAAGUUACACCAAACAAAGGAUAUGGAGGCCAAACUGCUGUUGAGGGGAUAUUCCCCACUGCCAUUAGCUGCGCAGGGCACUCGUCACUGACCCUCUUUUAACAGGCAGGCCUAAAGGGACUUGCACCCUCACCUGAUUUUUUGCCCCCAGUGAAGUAUUCUGAACAUAGAGAUUUUAUAUCACCAGAAGAUAUCAGCACAGAUGCCUUUUUAUUAUACGCACCUGACCUUAAGCUAGAGAAUGGCAACUUUUUAAGGAUUACUCAUUAAAUGCUGCUAACUCUCAGUAAAAGACUACAAGAGACAAAUCACAUUAACAAGGAUACUAGUUUAACUGCUAAAAUAUAGCGCUCCUCAGUAGACUUUUUGGGGGUAAAAAGUAGUAAUUUUGUUGUUUUUUUUUUUUAAACAGUAGUCCAAAAAUAAAAUUUUUCCAUCUAUUUCCAGUACAGAUCUUGAUAACUAUGCAAGAACAUGGUACUAAUUGCUACAUGAUGGAAUCACCAGCAAUAAAACACAUACUACAAUUCUCACCUCUGAGCUAAAUUGUUAUUUGUAGUCACAUACAACAAGACUAAAAGACCAGUGAGAAAUACCUGGGGACUGGGAUUUAGUUUUUAUUUAGCUGGUAACUCCCCUUGUUUAGAAGCAACUUCAUAUCAGUUAGAAAUUAAUUUAAUUCACUUCACAUGCUGGAAAGAAACCUGGGAUGUCUCAAGAGUUUCUUCCCAAAUCCAACCUGUACAUUAAAAAACAUUUUUCCAGCUUCCUAAUCCAAUUGUGAGAGCUGAAUAUUCUAUAAAACUCUCAGACUAAAACCUGUCACAAGAAGUGAUUUUAGCUUCCCUC